Molecule: long non-coding RNA, 7743 nt
Filed under: Marmota monax (woodchuck)
Lineage: Eukaryota; Metazoa; Chordata; Mammalia; Rodentia; Sciuridae
Source: RNAcentral
CCAUGUUAAUUUUUUAUUUAUCUGAAAGUNUAUAGUUAAGUGAAAUAAGUCCAUUAACAUAAAAAGUACCUGCAUUAGAGUGUAAGGUUAAUAAAUCAUGAUCAGACUUCAUCACUUCAGUGAACAAUCCAAAUAAAGCCUUAACACACAAAUGUAUAUCAUAUCUACAAUAAACAUCACAGUGCGAAUUAAUAUUAGGAAUACAAUUCCAGACAUGAUUUAAAAACAUACAUAAAGAAGGUACAAUACCCUUUAGAUGUUUAUCCAGCGGACACCAUGGUCCACUGCGUAAUGUUACUAAUCUACAUAAAAAAGAAAAACGUUCCUGACCAAACAGUGUAUAUGCACUAUAUGAAAACCAUGUAUUUACAUGAAAUUCAAUGCAAAGAUGACAAUUUGCGUAGUGCAACUGUUCAGAAUAAUUCCUCGAUCUUUCCGUCCUUCUCCUUCUUGGAUUUAAUUUUCUUAGUGCCUUUCGCUUCAUGGUCCCUGUAAUGUUGAAGUUUAUCCAUUUUAAUGUAAGUUUUCUUUCCUGCAGACUUAUUAAUCUUUAAACAAAUCUUAAUGCAUAAUACAAAUAAUACGAAACAACAUACAUAUAGCAAUCCUUCCUUAAGCCAAUGGAAAGGGUUCCAUCUCAUAAUGCAACUAACAUCUGCAUGAACUAAUUUUCUAAAGAAACCUACAAAACUACAAUCAUAAGUAUACUGAAAGUCACGCGGAAUCAAGUAUCCAGAAUCAACUAACAUUUUAACUUUAUGAGUUUCACCUGAAAAUCUUUGGAGAAGUUCAGUAGUUUGGUUAUGUACUGUCUCAAUUUCCUUUCCUAAUGAAGCAUAAACGGAUUUGGCUGCCUCUGUUGCUUUCAUCAUAUUUUUAUAUUCUUCUGACAGAGGUGGCUGGGGUACAAAAGAAUGUAACCCAAAAGUAUGAUUAGACAUAUAAACCACCUGAGUCAGGACUCGUAAGUUUUGCGUAGCAGUAAAAUACUUAGACCUAAAUAGAUGUUUCUUAACAGUUAGAUUCAUAUGUUCCAUCAUCAUGACAUUGGAAUGUACAUGACAACCAGCAUUCAGACUCAAAGAAUCACUAUAAGAAAUGUUUUGCCAUCGUUGAACCAUGUACGGUUCAGGAUAACAAGACAACAUAUUAAAAUUCCCAAGAUCUAACAAAGUAGCCUGAGGCAUAGAUAUAGUUAUAUCAGAAGUCCUAGGUUCAUCUGAGAAAAGAUCAUAUGCUAUAAUAGUUGUUUUACCUAUAGCAUAAGUGGCUUCACUAGGCACAUAAUAUGACAUAUUGUUCCAUUUUAACCAAUAAAACUUAUCAAAUGGUAUUAUCCAAUCUUUACCAAUUUUCUUCGGUAUAGCCUUAGUUGGAUAUCCUAUUACAACCUUAGAUGUCGACAUUUGCCAUAAAUUAAUCAUGCAGACACCAGUUUCACACCAAGAAUCCUUUGUAGGAUCUAAUAUGGUUAUAGCUGAUGCAGUUUCCAUGCCUAUGCCAGUUCUAAAUAACAGUCUUAUUUCUUCUAAUCCCGCGGUGAUCAUUGCUUGCAGAUGUCCACACUCCUGAGUUGCCUCCAAUUGUUUCAUACGUACAUUCCAUGAUGCAUCCAUGGUCUCAAUCACCUUACUUAAUGAAUCAACAUGAUGUUUCAAAAGUUCCUGUUCUGCAGAAAGUCUUUCCAUAAGUAAAGAUGCGGAGUGCAGAUUUUUAGAUAAUUGUGAGAUAACAAAGUUCUGUUUAUUCUGAAGUCCUCGAAGAGCUGAAAUUUCCACUCGAAGUUCCUCCGUCAUUGCUCCAGCGAUUGCUGCCCCCAAAGCUGCUCCGGCCAGGAAAGCGCCAAUCGCUGCGAACUGCAAAGGUCUCCGUCCUGCUGCAUUUCUUUGAACUGAAUAAAACAAAUCUGGCAACACAGUAGACUCAAAAGAAGGACAUACAGUUUCACCUUUCAACAAAUCACUAACAGACAAUCGUAACACAAUUGGCUGUACUUGUGGUUGUAUCAAAAAUCUAACUGGCUGAUGUAGUAAAGGUAAAAAUCCUGGAGCCUCUAAAGUCUUCAUAAAAUUACCGUCCUUUUCCUUGCGUGGGAAGAGGACCGCUCUUGGGAAAUGGGCAGUAACCCAUCCCUUGGUUUCAUCAAAUCCUCCUCUAUCGAUUAAACAAGGAUUCAAAGAGGUCGGUUCCAUGUAGCAUUUCUGCAUAUCCAUCUUUGUACUAUAUAUAAUAUGAUUACCUGCAUGUGCAUCAAACACAUCAGUAUUAUUAUGUAAAACAUCAUGUGUUACAAUAUCAUAAAGAUUCCAUUCAUUUUCACUUCCUGGUAAUAACAUAUACCAGUAAUAAGGUAAUUUUCCUGGAUAUAUUUUACUAGACCAAGUAGAGAAAUCCAUUCCUUGUGUCAACCACCAUUUCAGAGUUUUUCUAUCUGCUAUAUCCACAUGGUAUCUAAUUAUAGUAUCCCAGAGCUGUGCUCUAGGGCACCCAGUCUUCAAUGACCAGUAGUCAUCAGCAUUUACCAGGUAAGUGUCUGUUUUGUAAUUCACUAAAGUAACUUCAUCCAAAUCUGGUGGUACAAAUUCAAGAGAAUAUACUGUUGGAUGUAAAGUAUAAGUCCUCGUUUGUUUCUGCUGAUUGUCUAAUACAGCAUUACCACCUUCAUAAUGUUUGGAAAAGUUUCCAGUUAUAUUCACAUCAAGAGGGAUAUCAUAGUACGUGGAAUCAUUAUGCAUAAUAGACCUAUGAAUACCAAUCACAUAUUGCCAUGAAUGUGGAAACCAUCUGCAAGUAGAUCUUUCCAUAGCUAAACUAACAUUUUUAGUGUCCACAUAAUUAGAAUCAACUCCCAUCGGGAUUGACAUAUUAUGGACAUUCACUCUGAUUUUGUCAUCACUCAAAUUAAACACGGGAAUCAAAGUCCCAAAGAAAUCAUCAUAAAACUUAAAGGUACAGUCUUGGCAUUUAUAAUAAGGCCACUUUGAAGACUCUCCUUUGGAUCCAUUAUAAGUAUAAUCUAUUUGCAAAAAUGUGACAUUAUAAAAGUAUUUAUUCAAAAUAUCCUUGGGUGUGAUAACCAAUACAGGUUGCCAGGACUGAUUAUCAAACCUAUGCCACGUAUUAUUCACCUCAAGAUGCAUAUGAGAGGCAUUCAAAUAUACAGCAUGAAGAGGAUUCUGUACACAAUUUUGUCUGCUAAAAUUAUAACACCAUGUCCAAUUAAAUAUAUUAUAAUAUUGUGUGUAGUUUUUCCACACUGUCUGGUUAACAAUGUAUUCGUCCACGGUGAAUUUGUAAUCAUGUAACCCUGGACUAUGCACUCUCUGUCCCAAUUUCGGGCUAUCCACAAUCUCUGAGAGGUCCCAUUCAUUAUUGGCAUUUUUAAAAACAUACCUCCUUGUUUUGUUUUCAAAUAAUAGCCAUCCAGAGUGAUUAAACAUUCCAAAUUCAGGAUGUAAUACCCCAGUCGUCCUGUAGGCUGGACCCAGCCUACAGGCCUGUGUGUGAAUCUUAUAAGUUACAGAUGAAUAAUUACCAAUUUUAUAAUAAUAUCUAUAUUGGCACCACUUAAGGAAGGUUGAAUCAACAGGGAAGCAAACUCUACCAAUAAAUGCUUGUCCCUGUGUUCGGUUAAGCAUAUCUCCAAAAAUGCUACGGAUACAAACAUACCCGAUUUUAUCCUGUAAUUUAGGAGGCGUGGCCACUGGUUUAACCAAGUUAUGGGUAAAUGGCUGUGGUAAAGGGUCGGUCAACACAACAGGUGAUCGCCAAGUGGCGGUACCUAAGGUAUUGACUUUCCACCAAUUAUCUAUAGUAAGAUAAGAUUGGUUCCGUAUUUCUAAGGAUCUAUCAGGAUUCUGUAGAAUCUCGAACUUUCCAUAUAUAGGUAAAUUAGGAAAAUCCGCUACACAAGAUACANUUCACUAGGCACAUAAUAUGACAUAUUGUUCCAUUUUAACCAAUAAAACUUAUCAAAUGGUAUUAUCCAAUCUUUACCAAUUUUCUUCGGUAUAGCCUUAGUUGGAUAUCCUAUUACAACCUUAGAUGUCGACAUUUGCCAUAAAUUAAUCAUACAGACACCAGUUUCACACCAAGAAUCCUUUGUAGGAUCUAAUAUGGUUAUAGCUGAUGCAGUUUCCAUGCCUAUGCCAGUUCUAAAUAACAGUCUUAUUUCUUCUAAUCCCGCGGUGAUCAUUGCUUGCAGAUGUUCACACUCCUGAGUUGCCUCCAAUUGUUUCAUACGUACAUUCCAUGAUGCAUCCAUGGUCUCAAUCACCUUACUUAAUGAAUCAACAUGAUGUUUCAAAAGUUCCUGUUCUGCAGAAAGUCUUUCCAUAAGUAAAGAUGCGGAGUGCAGAUUUUUAGAUAAUUGUGAGAUAACAAAGUUCUGUUUAUUCUGAAGUCCUCGAAGAGCUGAAAUUUCCACUCGAAGUUCCUCCGUCAUUGCUCCAGCGAUUGCUGCCCCCAAAGCUGCUCCGGCCAGGAAAGCGCCAAUCGCUGCGAACUGCAAAGGUCUCCGUCCUGCUGCAUUUCUUUGAACUGAAUAAAACAAAUCUGGCAACACAGUAGACUCAAAAGAAGGACAUACAGUUUCACCUUUCAACAAAUCACUAACAGACAAUCGUAACACAAUUGGCUGUACUUGUGGUUGUAUCAAAAAUCUAACUGGCUGAUGUAGUAAAGGUAAAAAUCCUGGAGCCUCUAAAGUCUUCAUAAAAUUACCGUCCUUUUCCUUGCGUGGGAAGAGGACCGCUCUUGGGAAAUGGGCAGUAACCCAUCCCUUGGUUUCAUCAAAUCCUCCUCUAUCGAUUAAACAAGGAUUCAAAGAGGUCGGUUCCAUGUAGCAUUUCUGCAUAUCCAUCUUUGUACUAUAUAUAAUAUGAUUACCUGCAUGUGCAUCAAACACAUCAGUAUUAUUAUGUAAAACAUCAUGUGUUACAAUAUCAUAAAGAUUCCAUUCAUUUUCACUUCCUGGUAAUAACAUAUACCAGUAAUAAGGUAAUUUUCCUGGAUAUAUUUUACUAGACCAAGUAGAGAAAUCCAUUCCUUGUGUCAACCACCAUUUCAGAGUUUUUCUAUCUGCUAUAUCCACAUGGUAUCUAAUUAUAGUAUCCCAGAGCUGUGCUCUAGGGCACCCAGUCUUCAAUGACCAGUAGUCAUCAGCAUUUACCAGGUAAGUUUCUGUUUUGUAAUUCACUAAAGUAACUUCAUCCAAAUCUGGUGGUACAAAUGCAAGAGAAUAUACUGUUGGAUGUAAAGUAUAAUCCCUCGUUUGUUUUUCCUCAUUGCCUAAUACAACAUUACCACCUUCAUAAUGUUUGGAAACAUUUCCAGUUAUAUUUACAUCAAGAGGAAUAUCAUAGUACGUGGAAUCAUUAUGCAUAAUAGACCUAUGAAUACCAAUCACAUAUUGCCAUGAAUGUGGAAACCAUCUGCAAAUAGAUCUUUCCAUAGCUAAACUAACAUUUUUAGUGUCCACAUAAUUAGAAUCAACUCCCAUCGGGAUUGACAUAUUAUGGACAUUCACUCUGAUUUUGUCAUCACUCAAAUUAAACACGGGAAUCAAAGUCCCAAAGAAAUCAUCAUAAAACUUAAAGGUACAGUCUUGGCAUUUAUAAUAAGGCCACUUUGAAGACUCUCCUUUGGAUCCAUUAUAAGUAUAAUCUAUUUGCAAAAAUGUGACAUUAUAAAAGUAUUUAUUCAAAAUAUCCUUGGGUGUGAUAACCAAUACAGGUUGCCAGGACUGAUUAUCAAACCUAUGCCACGUAUUAUUCACCUCAAGAUGCAUAUGAGAGGCAUUCAAAUAUACAGCAUGAAGAGGAUUCUGUACACAAUUUUGUCUGCUAAAAUUAUAACACCAUGUCCAAUUAAAUAUAUUAUAAUAUUGUGUGUAGUUUUUCCACACUGUCUGGUUAACAAUGUAUUCGUCCACGGUGAAUUUGUAAUCAUGUAACCCUGGACUAUGCACUCUCUGUCCCAAUUUCGGGCUAUCCACAAUCUCUGAGAGGUCCCAUUCAUUAUUGGCAUUUUUAAAAACAUACCUCCUUGUUUUGUUUUCAAAUAAUAGCCAUCCAGAGUGAUUAAACAUUCCAAAUUCAGGAUGUAAUACCCCAGUCGUCCUGUAGGCUGGACCCAGCCUACAGGCCUGUGUGUGAAUCUUAUAAGUUACAGAUGAAUAAUUACCAAUUUUAUAAUAAUAUCUAUAUUGGCACCACUUAAGGAAGGUUGAAUCAACAGGGAAGCAAACUCUACCAAUAAAUGCUUGUCCCUGUGUUCGGUUAAGCAUAUCUCCAAAAAUGCUACGGAUACAAACAUACCCGAUUUUAUCCUUUAUUUUAGGAGGCGUGGCCACGGGUUUAACCAAGUUAUGGGUAAAUGGCUGUGGUAAAGGGUCGGUCAACACAACAGGUGAUCGCCAAGUGGCGGUACCUAAGGUAUUGACUUUCCACCAAUUAUCUAUAGUAAGAUAAGAUUGGUUCCGUAUUUCUAAGGAUCUAUCAGGAUUCUGUAGAAUCUCGAACUUUCCAUAUAUAGGUAAAUUAGGAAAAUCCGCUACACAAGAUACAUAAUGGGUAUAAUUCAAAUGAGUUCUGCUUUGCACAUCUUCAAUAUAUAUAGACAUAUUCCUUUGUUUAGUGCUCAUGGAAUCUAGAUACUGCUGUAACUCUUUUGGACACCAUGUCCCGUAGGGUUCAACUAAAACUUGCGGCCAUCUAGGCAACGGCCUAGCUCCUUGUAAAUGUCUAGGCAAUCUUUUCCACUCAUCCAACAUUUCCUUAGAAUCAUUAUAUGGCAACAAAUUUAUCCCCAACGUAGUUGUUCGUGGGGUUGUAGUUGUAAAUUCACCAGAACCUUCUUCUUCUCCAUCAUCAUAUGAAGAAUAGUCAUAUUUUUCAUAUUCAUAAUCGAAUAAAUUAUAAUCAUUCUGUUUGUUGGACACCCAAACCUGAAAAGGCAGUGAUGCAACAUCCUUUUCUGCUGCUUUUAUACAUGUAAAGUCAUUCUCUUCUGUAGACUCCUCAAAAGUAUAUACAGUAAGGUUUGGAUUAUUAAGCACUGCUGCUGUAGCAUUAUAGCUCUUAACUAAAGGUUUGCCUCCAAGUUUCCUAUAAUAAUACACAAAAUGUGGCUUAUAAGACCACAUAUCCAUAAUCCCAGGUACAAGAUGACAUCGGAGGGGGUUAGUUUCAUAUUUAUUAGAAGUUCCUCCAUCCGCACUAGAUCUAAACAUUGGGCUAUAUACCCCAACUGUAUUGAUGUCCCAAAAAUGGUCACACUCCUUAGGUGCGGAGUGUUUGUUAUAAUGGUGGCAAAAUGCAUAAUUAUGAUAAAACAGGUAUCUAAUAGCAGUAAAAUUUUGUAGGAAUUUGUUACUUUUCCAAUAUUGUGGUAUUACUGCACAAGAAUUAUUACACUCUUGAAGUGAAUGAGUGAAAUUAAUAUAAUUGAAGAUCCAAUCUUUGUAAGAAUGCUUGGUCAGGUUAAUGUUCCUGAUACCAAAAUAAUAUGGAGUUGUAGUAGUAAAAGUAGUGGGAGUUGUAGUUUGAUUUCCCAUUACUGAAUAGAACUGCAGGGCUAUCAAAAGUAGCAAAAAUAGCAAAAGUAACAAAGUCCUAGGUGCCAUUACCAGAAACAUAGUGUAUAAUUAAGUACAUAACAGGGUAGCAAAUCCCGUACCAACAAUUUAUGAUACGUUUGGUUCACGUUAAUAUGGGUACAGUCAAUACCGUUGUGAAUGUGUGA